RNAcentral lists this ribosomal RNA (274 nucleotides) under uncultured bacterium. Its description in RNAcentral is "partial 16S ribosomal RNA". It matches the Rfam family "Archaeal small subunit ribosomal RNA", at positions 473 to 747 of the family's 1478-position model. The record is from RNAcentral.
AAACCAGCACCUCAAGUGGUCAGGAUGAUUAUUGGGCCUAAAGCAUCCGUAGCCUGCUUUAUCAGUUUUCGGUUAAAUCCACACGCUCAACGUAUGGGCUGCCGGGAAUACUGCAAAGCUAGGGAGUGGGAGAGGUAGACGGUACUCGGGAGGAAGGGGUAAAAUCCUUUGAUCUCUCGAUGACCACCUGUGGCGAAGGCGGUCUACCAGAACACGUCCGACGGUCAGGGAUGAAAGCUGGGGGAGCAAACCGGAUUAGAAACCCCGGUAGUCC